UUUUUGUUUUUUUUUCCUCUAUUAAGGGACUAUACUUUUAAGAAAAGUUUGCUAUUUUUUAAAAAGAUUUUAUUUAUCCAUUUGACAGAGAAAGAGAACACAAGCAGGGGGAGAAGAGGGAGAAGCAGACUUACCACUGAGCUCCAUCCCAGGACCCCAGGAUCAUGACCUGAGCCGAAGGCAGCUGCUUAACCGACUAGGCCACCAGGUGCCCCUGCUACUGCUUUUAAGAAAAAAAUGAACUACUGUAAAUGCACAGACAUGGAUGUUUUCAGGAGACAUGCAAGCACUCUCGAGCAGAGGCCUGUAGAACAUGGCAGGAGCCGCCGCUGCAGACAGGAGGCUUCUUGCCCCCUCUAUGCACAGUGGCCAGUGGGAACAGCAGGUCAGAGUGUCUAACUGCCUCUGCUGUGAUCGCCUAGACUGGCCACCAACUCAUCACCACUGAAAACAGCUGUGGUGGUUUUCUCCUGGCGUGCUAUGCUCCACACACAGGUCAUGCCUCUGGCCACCAGAGAUGCCAUGCCCCGUGGGUGGCUUGGUCUUUGCUGGACCAUGGAUCUGAAGGGCAGCCCUGCACCUCAUCCCACACUGCCUGCAUUUACAAAGCCGACCCUCAGAUCAGGGCUGAGUGUGCCUACCAAUGCUGACCUAUCCACUAAGCUGCUGUGCCAAUCAAAAGAAGCAUUUCAUUGACAUCUCAGUUUGCUUGGUUUGCAAGUGUUACAGUGCAUGCCACUGCUCUCACCCAACUGGAAAAGCAUUCCAUGUAUACUUGACAAUGAGCUUUAAGAUGGACACUUGCAGGGCGCCUGGGUGGCUCAGUGGUGGAGCAUCUGCCUUUGGCUCAGGGCAUGAUCCCAGGGUCCUGGGAUCAAGUCCCACAUUGGACUCCCUGCAGGGAGCCUGCUUGUCCCUCUGCCUAUGUCUCUGCCUCUUCCUGUGUGUCUCUCAUGAAUAAAUAGAUAAAAUCUUCAAAAAAAAAAAAAAAGACACUUGCAAACAUCUCUUACCAUCUAAAAGAAAAUAUUUCUGCUGUAUGAACCAUAAGCAGCACAUGGAAGUCUUUCCUCGCAACCUGAAGUUGCACAUACUUUUCUAAAAACAGGAAGACAGGUAGAGAUCCUCCUAAAUCAGAUCUCAUGCACUCCAUCUUUCUGUGAUCAUGCAACAUGUCCUCGUGUCCAGGCUCAGGAACCAGAAUUCAUGGCAGGGUCGCGGAGCGUUCCUGGAGCCUCUGGCCGUGUCUCAGGCUGGUAGCUGGGGACCUCGGGAGGCCUGCUGACAGGUGCCAGGUCACCAGGGGCAGGAGUGCACAGCUUCAGUGGCAAUGUGGGAUACAGGGUAGGGAAGGAGAUGUGCCAGCCUCCAGAGCCUGGCAAGGCCUCUUCUACUCCCCAUGCUUGGUCACUUCACUUACAAAGAAGUUCACAGGUUUCCAUUUAUUUUUCCCAUUUUAAAAAAAUUAUUUAAUGACAUGUCUUUUGAGACCUGAGAUUCAUCAUGGCUCCCUUGGGACACAGGCAGGGCCAGGUGUGGGUGGGCCCAGCAUCCCAGUGACAGAGGGGGAAAUGUGAGGGGGAUGUAACCCCAGCUGCGUCCCAGGAAGGCAACAGCCACCCCCACAUGUGCUGGCUACCUCAGGACAGGACAGGCCCCCAAGUUCUCUGGGCACCCAAAGGCCCUGUGCCAGACUCUGGAGCCCGACACAUGCAGUGGGCAAUCUCAUAGACCACACGUUGGGCGGUGGCUCUUCUAUGUGUGGGUCCUUUGACCAAAGCACUGGCUUUUUUCCGACUAUGUCCCUGACUAGAACAAGCAUUUCAGAGCUACGAGUGCUGAGAGACCAUGUGCCGUCCCUGGACACUUCGGAUGCACUAAGGAGGAAGGAACAUGAAAGCCUUUAUUCUCGGGCAGGAAUACUUUAGUCCAAGAAACUCAGAGGAAGGAGUCUUUUAAAAACUCGACCCAUCAUCUCCCAGGGGCCAAGGAGUCCAUGCACAUCCCAGAAACGCGUGGAUGCUGCCCCUUUGCAGACGGCACAAAGGAGGAAAGCUCCAGAAUCAACUGUGAUGUGCAGGAGGAGGACACAGACUCAGGUACAGCCUCCUUGCUCAGACCAGCACAGCCAGCACAGAUAGAGGAAGUGGUGCUGGAAUGACCAGCAGAUACAAGGAGGUCAGAAGACAACCUGCAAGGCACACUUGGCGGGUCCGUGGCCUCCCCACUGGAUGGACAACAGUCCACAGAUCAGCUGCCCUGAGGCCUCCACAUGUCCAGGUGCAGGGACGUUGGCGGGGCACACAGCCGGAGGCAGCCCAGGGUCCCGGGAGGGCAGGAGAGGCCCUGGCAGGAGACGAGGAAGGACGCCGACAAGGCCCGGGGCGCACACACACACUGUAGUUACAGCAGGUGUCAGCGCAGGGACGUCAGGAACGCCAGACAACUCCGUCCACCCAGAAUUACUGUGAAAUGGUGGUGAAACGGCACUGCCCUGUACGCUGGGCCAACACACAUCACGUCAUUCAAAAUGGUCAUUCAAAAUAAUAAAACGUGAGCAUCUGGAAAAUCAUGCACACAUAUACACAUGUGGAUGUACAUAUGGGGGGUGAGUUCAUCCUUAUCUUCCAAUGUGUUUUCUAAAUGUUUGCAGAUAGAACCUGUGCAGAUUUGUGUGUGGGGGUGAUGGGAGUUGUGUGUUUAUUUCCAGUGGGCCUGCUUGCAGGCACUUCGGAGAUGUAGUAUAUCAAGUUUUCUGUCAUCACUGUUUUUUUCCUAAGACCAGUUUGUUACUGUUCUUUUAGUAUGUGUUCUCAUACAUAGUGAGCUUGUGUUAAAAUAGGGCAUUUUUUUCCUAAUUAAAAAAAAAAUCACUUUUGUGUUCUAUAAAAAAAAAAAAAAAAAAAAAAAAAAAAAA
RNAcentral lists this long non-coding RNA (2917 nucleotides) under Canis lupus familiaris (dog). RNAcentral describes it as "lncRNA (ENSCAFG00000054470.1, ENSCAFG00845000566.1)". The record is from RNAcentral. Lineage: Eukaryota; Metazoa; Chordata; Mammalia; Carnivora; Canidae.